This 427-nucleotide ribosomal RNA is filed under the name uncultured bacterium. Its description in RNAcentral is "bacterial SSU rRNA". It matches the Rfam family "Bacterial small subunit ribosomal RNA", at positions 355 to 774 of the family's 1533-position model. The record is from RNAcentral. RNAcentral also lists the same sequence under 3 other names.
UAGGGAAUCUUCCACAAUGGACGCAAGUCUGAUGGAGCAACGCCGCGUGAGUGAAGAAGGUCUUCGGAUCGUAAAACUCUGUUGUUAGAGAAGAACACGAGUGAGAGUAACUGUUCAUUCGAUGACGGUAUCUAACCAGCAAGUCACGGCUAACUACGUGCCAGCAGCCGCGGUAAUACGUAGGUGGCAAGCGUUGUCCGGAUUUAUUGGGCGUAAAGGGAACGCAGGCGGUCUUUUAAGUCUGAUGUGAAAGCCUUCGGCUUAACCGGAGUAGUGCAUUGGAAACUGGAAGACUUGAGUGCAGAAGAGGAGAGUGGAACUCCAUGUGUAGCGGUGAAAUGCGUAGAUAUAUGGAAGAACACCAGUGGCGAAAGCGGCUCUCUGGUCUGUAACUGACGCUGAGGUUCGAAAGCGUGGGUAGCAAACA